GAGCUCCACAAAAGCAUCACGCCUUCGCCAACCUUAUCUACAACAUCCAUCCUCUCCUAUCCUCUUCAUCGCUUCUCCCUUCGUCGCCUCCUACAGCAUCAGUAACCUGCCUCCGCAAGAUCGCCGUCGCCACCUUGUUCUCUUCACCGCUACACGCGCAGGUCCUAAUAUCUUCGACUAAUCCGCAGGCAUUGCUGCUCCGUUGUGCAGUGCUGGUGCCGUCAUCAAUCGCACACGGAUCAAGGUGGACUGCUGCUGCCGGUUGCGACAGGAGAGAAGAAAAAAUCUGCCCUCUGCUGCUAUAUGUGGAGCAAAUUUGUGAAUUCCACUACGACGGUGAGCAGUUUUUAGUGAUCAAGAUAAGAGCUUUAGCAACAAGUAAAGACUAGCAGAACCAAAAGGAUAAGCAAGAGCAUUUGGAGUAAGGCAAGUAUAGCAUUUGGA
Sorghum bicolor (sorghum) is the source of this 444-nucleotide long non-coding RNA. RefSeq lists it as uncharacterized. The record is from RefSeq and is a predicted model, not a curated record. The transcript has 3 exons. Lineage: Eukaryota; Viridiplantae; Streptophyta; Magnoliopsida; Poales; Poaceae.